GUAGGUGGCAAGCGUUGUCCGGAAUUAUUGGGCGUAAAGCGCGCGCAGGCGGUUCUUUAAGUCUGAUGUGAAAGCCCACGGCUCAACCGUGGAGGGUCAUUGGAAACUGGAGAACUUGAGUACAGAAGAGGAAAGCGGAAUUCCACGUAUAGCGGUGAAAUGCGUAGAGAUGUGGAGGAACACCAGUGGCGAAGGCGGCUUUCUGGUCUGUAACUGACGCUGAGGCGCGAAAGCGUGGGGAGCAAACAGGGAUUAGAUACCCUGGUAGUCCACGCCGUAAACGAUGAGUGCUAAGUGUUAGGGGGUUUCCGCCCCCUUAGUGCUGCAGCUAACGCAUUAAGCACUCCGCCUGGGGAGUACGGCCGCAAGGCUG
Molecule: ribosomal RNA, 373 nt
Filed under: uncultured organism
Description: partial 16S ribosomal RNA
Rfam family: Bacterial small subunit ribosomal RNA
Source: RNAcentral